This 112-nucleotide ribosomal RNA is filed under the name Bacillus altitudinis. Its description in RNAcentral is "partial 16S ribosomal RNA". It matches the Rfam family "Bacterial small subunit ribosomal RNA", at positions 1430 to 1533 of the family's 1533-position model. The record is from RNAcentral. Lineage: Bacteria; Bacillati; Bacillota; Bacilli; Caryophanales; Bacillaceae.
GUGAGGUAACCUUUAUGGAGCCAGCCGCCGAAGGUGGGGCAGAUGAUUGGGGUGAAGUCGUAACAAGGUAGCCGUAUCGGAAGGUGCGGCUGGAUCACCUCCUUUCUAAGGA